Molecule: long non-coding RNA, 489 nt
Organism: Lepus europaeus (European hare)
Lineage: Eukaryota; Metazoa; Chordata; Mammalia; Lagomorpha; Leporidae
Exons: 3
Source: RefSeq, a predicted model, not a curated record
CUUGGAGGUAUUCUCCAGGGCCUUCCUCCGCGGCCGCGGGACAAAUUGGACCGGAGAUUAAAGGACCGGAGUUUAACUCGAGAUGGACGACCAGCUCGCGGCCGUCGCUGCCAUUAAAGAAACCUUGUGGCUGUCGACCCCAGGUGUCUUGAACAAGCAGUUAGCCCCGUGCCGUUGAAGAGCAGCCCUUUACCCGGCCCAGUUCUCCUUCCCCGACUCAGUUUACCUCCCUAACGCAUCCCACAGGGGCGCCGGUUCAAGUCCUGUCUGCUCCACUUCCAAUCCCGCUCUCUGCUAUGGCCUGGGAAAACAGUUGAAGAUGGCCCAAGUCUUUGGGCCCCUACACCCACGUGGGAGACCCUGAAGAAGCUCCUGGCUUCAGAUCGGCCCAGCUCCAGCCAUUGUGGCCAUUUGGGAGUGAAUCAGCUGAUGGGAGACCUUUCUGUCUCUCCCUCCCUCUGUAACUCCACCUCUCAAAUACAUUUCUUU